Long non-coding RNA from Grammomys surdaster, 520 nucleotides. RefSeq lists it as uncharacterized. NCBI's taxonomy places the organism in Eukaryota, Metazoa, Chordata, Mammalia, Rodentia, Muridae. The record is from RefSeq and is a predicted model, not a curated record. The transcript is spliced from 2 exons.
GUCAUGACAGGAGGCUGAUCUCCUGAAGCAUGGCUACUAAGUCUGGGUCAGGUGUGUCUGGGGCUUUGUGACACUCUCUUUUUUUUUCUGUUUGUCCUGGACACUGGCUGGAGGAAUCAGGCCCAUAAGCAGGAAGCAAAGGAUCAACUCGGAGAGAGGGAAGAGAGCUGCCUCCAGACACAGUGGGCGCUCCACCUCCUCCAGGCAUCAGCAAUACAAGACCUCAGCUGAUGUCAGAUUUCCAGAUGAAAACAUCUGUACAACAUCUGCAAGACACUGAAGACCAGCAGCUGCUAGACAGAGGUUUCUUAGGACUCAUCUGCCUGAAGGACCAACACUGCCAGCAUCAGCCACCUGUGUGUGUUUGGAAAGGAGCUAAUGGGACUCUAUCACCACCUGCUGGCACACUGUGGAACUGCAACCCGACUGUAUUAGGCACUGCAAACUAUUCCCAAUAAGGAACAGUUGGGGUGAGGGGAGCUGUGGAAAAUUCUGUAGAAAUAAACAUUUUUACACCUAA